Molecule: small nuclear RNA, 123 nt
Filed under: Trichobilharzia regenti
Lineage: Eukaryota; Metazoa; Platyhelminthes; Trematoda; Strigeidida; Schistosomatidae
Description: U5 spliceosomal RNA
Rfam family: U5 spliceosomal RNA
About the family: U5 RNA is a component of both types of known spliceosome.
Source: Rfam by way of RNAcentral
GCACUCUGGUAUCUCCUCAUUUACGCAUAAAUCUUUCGCCGUUUUACUAAAGAUUUCCAUGGGGAGGCACAAUACAAUGAGUCUUGCCUCGUUUUUUUUUUCAGCUCUGUCUUCGGACGGAGU